GACGAACGCUGGCGGCGUGCCUAAUACAUGCAAGUCGAGCGAAGUUUUUCCGGUGCUUGCACCGGAAAAACUUAGCGGCGAACGGGUGAGUAACACGUAAAGAACCUGCCUCAUAGACUGGGACAACUAUUGGAAACGAUAGCUAAUACCGGAUAAUAGCAUUAACUGCAUGGUUGAUGUUUAAAAGUUGGUUUUGCUAACACUAUGAGAUGGCUUUGCGGUGCAUUAGCUAGUUGGUGGGGUAAAGGCCUACCAAGGCGACGAUGCAUAGCCGACCUGAGAGGGUGAUCGGCCACACUGGAACUGAGACACGGCCCAGACUCCUACGGGAGGCAGCAGUAGGGAAUCUUCCGCAAUGGGCGAAAGCCUGACGGAGCAACGCCGCGUGAGUGAAGAAGGAUUUCGGUUCGUAAAGCUCUGUUGUUAGGGAAGAAUGAGUGUGUAGUAACUAUACACAGUAGAGACGGUACCUAACCAGAAAGCCACGGCUAACUACGUG
RNAcentral lists this ribosomal RNA (499 nucleotides) under uncultured bacterium. RNAcentral's name for it is "partial 16S ribosomal RNA". It matches the Rfam family "Bacterial small subunit ribosomal RNA", at positions 28 to 507 of the family's 1533-position model. The record is from RNAcentral.